Dermacentor silvarum is the source of this 754-nucleotide long non-coding RNA. RefSeq lists it as uncharacterized. Lineage: Eukaryota; Metazoa; Arthropoda; Arachnida; Ixodida; Ixodidae. The transcript has 5 exons. The record is from RefSeq and is a predicted model, not a curated record.
AUGGGGGUACCGACGAAUCGACAACUUUGAGGGUUCAACCUUGGGAGUUCCUUCCGCUUCACCUAGCACAGCGGGAAGCAAAACAAAUGAAAGAACGCUUGGGAUUCUCCAUCCCAGUUCAUAUUGUGUGGUGCGAACGACGAGGCUCCGAACACGGGGAAAUGCCUACUCCUUCGGGUAGCACGCUGACUGCGCUGUGGCCGCACGUCCCAGCCUUGCUCGACGUCGCUUCAGGAUGCUCUUGACACUAGCGCAGCUGAAGCGGGCGAUCGACGGUUGUGUUGUUGAUGAGCUCGUCGCCCGAGCCGCUGAAUGAAGAGCGCUAAUUUGGACCAUGGUGCCAGCGAACGUCUCGGAGCCUCGCGAGAUGUCUGGCCCGUCGCCGCCUUUGCAGAUCCCCUGACGAGCAUGGAGCGCAGCCAGCAUUGCAGCCACCACCACAGGAAGGCAAGUCACUGGUUCGAAUCUUCGAUGAUGGCACGUUGGUAUUCCAGUCCUUUGCACAGUCACUUCUACAGAGCAUCCUAUCCAGCGUAGAGAGCAGAGACCUUGUGGUGGUGACUGCCUGGGCUGACACGCUGCUGGAUGUUCUCGAGCUUCUACCAAGGGCCACGAUAUUGCAGCAGCCUAAUUUUUCUGGCUGUGUUCAAAAGGGUGCACAAGGAGCUGCUGCCACUGGCAGAGUCCCCCUGCCGGGACCCUGAUCCGGAUGUUCGGGCCAGCAUGUGUUGUCAGCCGGGUCCUCUCACUCGGU